GUGCUCACUUUGGCAGCACAUAUACUAAAAUUGGGAUGAUACAGAGAUUAAAAUGGCCCCUGUGCAAGGAUGAUAAGCAAAUUUAUAAAGCAUGCCAUUCUUAA
This is a small nuclear RNA of Erinaceus europaeus (western European hedgehog), 104 nucleotides long. NCBI's taxonomy places the organism in Eukaryota, Metazoa, Chordata, Mammalia, Eulipotyphla, Erinaceidae. The record is from Ensembl.